UACGUAGGCAGCAAGCGUUGUUCGGAAUUACUGGGCGUAAAGAGUGUGUAGGCGGUGUUCUAAGUCUGUUGUGAAAUCUCCCGGCUUAACCGGGAGGGUGCGGCGGAAACUGGAAUGCUAGAGGAUGGGAGAGGUAAGCGGAAUUCCUGGUGUAGCGGUGAAAUGCGUAGAUAUCAGGAGGAACACCUGUGGUGUAGACAGCUCUCUGGGACGUUACUGACGCUGAGACGCGAAAGCGUGGGGAGCAAACAGG
Molecule: ribosomal RNA, 253 nt
Filed under: uncultured bacterium
Lineage: Bacteria
Description: partial 16S ribosomal RNA
Rfam family: Bacterial small subunit ribosomal RNA
Source: RNAcentral